GACGAACGCUGGCGGCGUGCUUAACACAUGCAAGUCGAACGAUGAAGCGGGUGCUUGCCCUCGUGGAUUAGUGGCGAACGGGCGAGUAACACGUGAGUAGCCUGUCCUUUUCUUUGGGAUAACGGCUGGAAACGGCUGCUAAUACUGGAUAUUCAGGCUGCAUCGCAUGGUGUGGUUUGGAAAGGUUUUUUCUGGGAUUGGGUGGGCUCGCGGCCUAUCAGCUUGUUGGUGGGGUGAUGGCUUACCAAGGCUUUGACGGGUAGCCGGCCUGAGAGGGUGGUCGGUCGCACUGGGACUGAGAUACGGCCCAGACUCCUACGGGAGGCAGCAGUGGGGAAUAUUGCACAAUGGACGAAAGUUUGAUGCAGCGACGCCGCGUGGAGGGUGUAGGCCUUCGGGUUGUGAACUCCUUUUUCUCGCGAAAAAGGCACAGUUUUGGCUGUGUUGAUGGUAGUGGGGGAAGAAGCGCCGGCUAACUACGUG
RNAcentral lists this ribosomal RNA (483 nucleotides) under uncultured bacterium. RNAcentral describes it as "partial 16S ribosomal RNA". It matches the Rfam family "Bacterial small subunit ribosomal RNA", at positions 28 to 507 of the family's 1533-position model. The record is from RNAcentral.